AUAAGGGCGUACGGAGGAUGCCUUGACACUAAAAGGCGAUGAAGGUCGUGGCGUGUCUGCGAUAAGCUUCGGGGAGGCGACUAGCAACCAUUGAUCCGGAGAUAACCGAAUGGGGAAACCCAAUCAUGUGAACCAUGAUUAUCUCGCGCAAGCGAGAAGUAUACCUGGUGAAGUGAAACAUCUUAGUAACCAGAGGAAAAGAAAUAGAAUAGAUACCGUAAGUAGCGGCGAGCGAAAGCGGCAUAGCCUAAACCGAUGCAUAGCAUCGGGAAUCUCUAAUAUCGAAUUUCUAAACUCUAAACAAUAUCAAAAUCCAAAAUUAAAAAUUUGGGAUUUGUUUAGGAUUUAGAGAUUAGGAUUUAGGAUUUCCGCUGCUGUGCAGCGGUGUAAUAGGGAUGAUACACUUGAAUUUUUAAUAUCGAUUUUUUUGAAAUCGGUAUUAAAAAUUUAUAAGAAGUUAAAAAUUUGGGUGUUAGCAGGAUAAGGCUAAAUACUUUUAGUGAUCGAUAGUGAACAAGUACCGUGAGGGAAAGGUGAAAAGCACCCCGGUGAGGGGAGUGAAAUAGUAACUGAAACCGUAUGCCUACAAAGAGCAGGAGCUGGUGCUGCGCACUGGAAAUUCGAAGCACGAAUAUCGAAAUUCUGACCCAACGAGUUUAUCUAAAUUGCCAACUAUAAGUCCUAAUCGGACGGAUAGGUAGGGAAACCGAGUGUUAAAAGCGCGACUCUAACUUAACUAACAACUUACGACUUUGCAGAAAUGUUCAGUUGUUCGUUGUUAGUUACGUUAGUAAGCAGUUUGGAUAAGACCCGAAGCCAGGCGAGCUAACCAUGACCAGGGUGAAGCUCUGCGAAAGCGGAGUGGAGGCCCGAACUAGUUGGUCGCUCAAUGCCAUUGGAUGAGUUGUGGUUGGAAGUGAAAAGCUUAUCGAGCUUGGUAAUAGCUGGUUCUCUCCGAAAUGCGUUUAGGCGCAGCGGUAUAUAGUAGCAGGAGGGGUAGAGCACUGAAUGGUUUGUCGUGCCCUUUUGGGUAGACUUACCAAACAAACUCCGAAUACUCCUGUGGAAUGUAUACCAGUGAGUACGCGAGGGCAAAGCUUCGUGUACGCGAGGGAAAGAGCCCAGAUCACAAAUUAAGGUCCCUAAAUUUAUGCUAAGUGUUAAAGGAAGUAUUUUGCCUUAGACAGGUAGGAGGUUGGCUUAGAAGCAGCCACCCUUUAAAGAGUGCGUAAUAGCUCACUACUCGACGUUGUCGCAAGAU
This 1261-nucleotide ribosomal RNA is filed under the name Candidatus Yanofskybacteria bacterium GW2011_GWA2_44_9. RNAcentral's name for it is "bacterial LSU rRNA". It matches the Rfam family "Bacterial large subunit ribosomal RNA", at positions 12 to 1171 of the family's 2925-position model. The record is from RNAcentral. Lineage: Bacteria; Candidatus Yanofskyibacteriota.